UUGUCUUUUAUACUGUAAUUAAAGAGUGGGGGAAACCUCCUAAACAUGGAUUUGGCGUCUUUACAAAGGAAACCCAUUUUCUCAAAGUAUUCAAUUCUCGGUAAUAGUUUGUCUUCCANNNNNNNNNNNAGCAAAGAAGUGUGUUUGUUUACCUCUUCUAUGCCAAUGCUUUGGAGGAAGUACAGGGUGGGACGCAGCCGCUGCUUGACGCUGGAAACGAGCAAUCUGGGCCGUCGAUUGAUGACGCGCUUAAUAUCGAAGCCGUUGACACGGGCUUCCCGGAGGAGGAAGGUGAAGACGGGAAGGAUGGUGGAGGCAUUGGAGGCGAGGAUUUCUGGGCACAUGGAAACAAUCCGGCGGAACUCCAGGGAGUUGAAAUUCAUGGAGAGAAAUAAAUCGACCAUGGAUUUUAUAUCGGCGAGGGAGGCAGAGAGAAUGAUCGGACGAUGGUGGUCGACGAGGGAAAAUAUGUCGAUACCUAUGGAAUCAAGGUAAAGCAUUUUCUCUUGAAAAUCUGCAUUGGGUGGUGCAGGCGGAGGAGGGUUAUUAAUAGGUGCAGAUAAGGAGGGGAUUUCAGUUAUUUUGGGGGGCUUGGGAGGGAUAGAAACGGUGUUUGUUUUGGAGGAAAGGGAGGGAAAAUGAAGAGUUCUUGAGCAAGAAAGUGAGGGAAAAUGAUGGUGAGAAGAGGAAAAAUUGUGGAGAUUGAAAGGGUAAGGAAAUGAGGAUUUGUGGUUCGAGAAGAAAUGGAUUUUCUCUUGCAUUGUUGCAGUGAGAGCUACAUGGUGGGGCUUGAGAGAGGGAAGAAGAAAGUAAAUUGUGAUUCCUG
This 826-nucleotide unclassified non-coding RNA is filed under the name Hevea brasiliensis (rubber tree). Lineage: Eukaryota; Viridiplantae; Streptophyta; Magnoliopsida; Malpighiales; Euphorbiaceae. The record is from RNAcentral.